RNAcentral lists this ribosomal RNA (491 nucleotides) under uncultured bacterium. RNAcentral describes it as "partial 16S ribosomal RNA". It matches the Rfam family "Bacterial small subunit ribosomal RNA", at positions 29 to 507 of the family's 1533-position model. The record is from RNAcentral.
GUGCACGCUGGCGGUAGGCCUAACACAUGCAAGUCGAACGGCAGCACGGUAAGAGCUUGCUCUUACGGGUGGCGAGUGGCGGACGGGUGAGGAAUACAUCGGAAUCUACUUUUUCGUGGGGGAUAACGUAGGGAAACUUACGCUAAUACCGCAUACGACCUACGGGUGAAAGCAGGGGAUCUUCGGACCUUGCGCGAUUGAAUGAGCCGAUGUCGGAUUAGCUAGUUGGCGGGGUAAAGGCCCACCAAGGCGACGAUCCGUAGCUGGUCUGAGAGGAUGAUCAGCCACACUGGAACUGAGACACGGUCCAGACUCCUACGGGAGGCAGCAGUGGGGAAUAUUGGACAAUGGGCGCAAGCCUGAUCCAGCCAUACCGCGUGGGUGAAGAAGGCCUUCGGGUUGUAAAGCCCUUUUGUUGGGAAAGAAAAGCAGCAGGUUAAUACCCCGCUGUUCUGACGGUACCCAAAGAAUAAGCACCGGCUAACUUCGUG